AUUCCCUGUGGGGAUGGUAAAACCUUAUACCUGUGUUUGAGUAACUGAAGGCAUAGAAGGAGAAGUCCUCGGGUAAAAUGCUGCUUAACUGUAUGAAAUAUUUUCAAGUUCUCUGUUUUGUGAAGCUUUGUAAAAGAGUUUGAGGAUCAGUAAACUACCCGGGUACUUGUGCAGAUUUGCAUCUGUUCUAGUCUUUUUCCUCUGGUCUGUUUGAUAUGUUACUAAACUUCCAAGUUUGUAAUGGUUAAAGAAGUUAUCGAGAUUGGAAAGCUUCGAGAAGCUCAUGCAAAGCCAAUAUAGUUCAAGGAUGGUACAUGACUUCUUAGACAGGUAACACAUCCUCUAAGUGAUAGAAACAACUUAACCAACUCCCAGUCGAAGAUGAUGACUGCACUGGUAAUGCGAAGGAGAUGAUAAUUGGUUCGCCGUUAUUGAGCAAGAUGGGAAGUGGCAAAGUUCUCAGGUGGCAACAAUGAUGCAUCAUCAUCCUCAUGCUCGGCAAGCCAUGGGAAUUGGUGCUUCUAGACCAGCUAGUCGAGCAAGUUGCGAUACUGGCUACUGCUUGAUCCUGCAAUAGCGAUUACUGGUCGAGAAAAUAGGGCAGCGCAAGUGUUUUGUACUACGCAUGUUUCGUUCUUCAGAUUUGUUUGAAGACUUGUCCUUACGGAGGCUAUAUACAACGGUGAUGAUAGGAAGGGAUCUAAACUGAAAAGAGCUCCUCAUGGCAAGGUACCACUGGAAACAUAGUAGAAGAGGAUCUGGAAUUUUUCGGUUGCAACAAGUUGGGGACGAGUUGCGCCUUAUCAGAAUCUCACAAGCAGUUAUUUGAUUAUGUCAGCAACUUGAUCUCAGAUAACAGUCUUGAGGUAUAAGGUGCCUUGGACUUGAAGUACUGGUGCUUGCAGAAGUAGGCCUACUCUUUGUGAUGUAUUUUCAACUUAUCUUUCAUGUAUACAUAUCUUUUAUUCCAACAAUAAAGUGUAAGUACUAUGUAUUGCUGGUUUGGAAGAGUUUAGUUGAACCUAAUUUAUGUGAUA
Long non-coding RNA from Papaver somniferum (opium poppy), 1037 nucleotides. RefSeq lists it as uncharacterized. The record is from RefSeq and is a predicted model, not a curated record. The transcript is spliced from 4 exons. Lineage: Eukaryota; Viridiplantae; Streptophyta; Magnoliopsida; Ranunculales; Papaveraceae.